This 460-nucleotide ribosomal RNA is filed under the name uncultured bacterium. RNAcentral describes it as "partial 16S ribosomal RNA". It matches the Rfam family "Bacterial small subunit ribosomal RNA", at positions 338 to 795 of the family's 1533-position model. The record is from RNAcentral.
CCUACGGGAGGCAGCAGUGAGGAAUAUUGGUCAAUGGCCGGAAGGCUGAACCAGCCAUGCCGCGUGAAGGUCAGUGCCCUAUGGGCGUUAAACUUCUUUUGUGCGGGAGCAAUAAUGGUCACGUGUGGCCAGACGAGAGUACCGUACGAAUAAGCAUCGGCUAACUCCGUGCCAGCAGCCGCGGUAAUACGGGGGAUGCAAGCGUUAUCCGGAUUUAUUGGGUUUAAAGGGUGCGUAGGCUGGGAGGUAAGUCAGCGGUGAAAUGCCCCCGCUCAACGGGGUGAAGUGCCAUUGAUACUGCCUGGCUGGAAUGCGGAUGCCGUGGGAAGAAUGUGUGGUGUAGCGGUGAAAUGCAUAGAUAUCACACAGAACACCGAUUGCGAAGGCAUCUCACGAAUCCGCGAUUGACGCUGAUGCACGAAAGCGUGGGUAUCAAACAGGAUUAGAUACCCUUGUAGUC